Stomoxys calcitrans (stable fly) is the source of this 458-nucleotide long non-coding RNA. RefSeq lists it as uncharacterized. The record is from RefSeq and is a predicted model, not a curated record. The transcript has 2 exons. NCBI's taxonomy places the organism in Eukaryota, Metazoa, Arthropoda, Insecta, Diptera, Muscidae.
AACACAUCGAAUCAUUGCCUUUGCCUUUAGUAUAGAUAAAUGACAACUGUGGUCGGGGAUUUUCACAAGAGAAAUUUAAACAAUUCCUUAUCAAUGAAAAGCAAAAACCCAAAGAAACACAAACAAUUUUUGAAAUCCUGUAUUUCGGUUUCACACACAAAGACGCUUCUCGAAGGAUCUGUAUCAUAAAUAAAGAAUUUGUAACAAUCCAUUGAUAGCUAUGUAAAGGCGCCUUGUUAUUUCAUGAUCCCAAUCACUCGAUGGAUGUGUUAGGAAAUUCCUGGAAAUUGAAAACAAAAGGCGUUAUUUAAUAUUACGGUUUAUAGGAAAAUUUUUGAAAUUAAUAACUUCAAAUGCUUACCCCUCUACAAAUUGAAUGACUAGAAUUGUCGGCAAACCUCUUUAACUUUUGUUUGAUAUAUUUUUGUGUAACACAUAUUAAAAUUGUAUGUAUUUUA